Molecule: long non-coding RNA, 342 nt
Organism: Gambusia affinis (western mosquitofish)
Lineage: Eukaryota; Metazoa; Chordata; Actinopteri; Cyprinodontiformes; Poeciliidae
Exons: 3
Source: RefSeq, a predicted model, not a curated record
CGGCGCCGGCCCGGGUUCCUGCUCGGAGACGCUGCGUUGAGAUUAACGAGGACAGACGGCGGCACGCUCUGAGCAUGCUCAGCUCAUCUCAUUCCUCUGGUUUUUCUGGUUUGGAUCAGCAGCAGGAAGGUUCUGAUCGGACCACCAUCAGAACCUUCCCAUCAUAAGUUCUGGAUUAACAUCGGAGGCGCUGCAGUUCCCACGGUAACCAGCAGAGGCGCUGCAGUUCCCACGGUAACCAGCAGAGGCGCUGCAGUUCCCACGGGUUCCUGGUGGUGGUUCGGGGGCCGCUGACUCACCGUAGCCGACUGGCCUUUGGACCCGAUGGACUUGGCCAUCUUG